AUUGAACGCUGGCGGCAUGCUUUACACAUGCAAGUCGAACGGUAACAGGGUGCUUGCACCGCUGACGAGUGGCGAACGGGUGAGUAAUGCGUCGGAACGUGCCGAGUAGUGGGGGAUAACGCAGCGAAAGUUGUGCUAAUACCGCAUACGUACUGAGGUAGAAAGUGGGGGACCUUCGGGCCUCACGCUAUUCGAGCGGCCGACGUCUGAUUAGCUAGUAGGUGAGGUAAAGGCUCACCUAGGCGACGAUCAGUAGCGGGUCUGAGAGGAUGAUCCGCCGCACUGGGACUGAGACACGGCCCAGACUCCUACGGGAGGCAGCAGUGGGGAAUUUUGGACAAUGGGCGAAAGCCUGAUCCAGCCAUGCCGCGUGUCUGAAGAAGGCCUUCGGGUUGUAAAGGACUUUUGUCAGGGAGGAAAUCCCUAGUGCUAAUAACACUGGGGGAUGACAGUACCUGAAGAGUAAGCACCGGCUAACUACGUGCCAGCAGCCGCCGUAA
RNAcentral lists this ribosomal RNA (500 nucleotides) under uncultured bacterium. Its description in RNAcentral is "partial 16S ribosomal RNA". It matches the Rfam family "Bacterial small subunit ribosomal RNA", at positions 30 to 523 of the family's 1533-position model. The record is from RNAcentral.